CCUUACUUCUAUUUUUAAAAGAGCACUUCUAAUCUAUACAGAGAAUCUCGAAAGCCUAUUCUUGAUGGAGAGUCACAGGCUAUUAUGUAGGCUAGACUAAGGACUAUUAGAUUUUUUUUAAACGUAACUUCUUCCUUCCAUCAAGGAAGCACAACCAUAGUGGAGUCUUUAUUUUGACUUAAAUUUAUCCUUAUCUUAAAAUAGUUUUAAAUAUUUAUAAUUAUCACCUUAAUUAUCUUAAAUUAUCUUUAAUAAUAAUGUUGCAAGUGGGCUACAUUAAGUUCCUAAUAUUUGAGUACAACACUCUCGAUCACCAAAGUCGGAAGCUUGAAUAAGGACAUGAGGUAUAUGGGAAGCGAGAUAAUGGCUAAGUUAAUCAGAACAAGUCUACCUCUGAAGGAGAGAUAUUUGAUCUUCUAAAAUGCAAAUUUAUUUUCAUUUCUUUGAAUCAUGAGUAACCAAUCUUUCUUAGAUGGUUUUGAGCCACUUAGAGACAAUCCCAGAUAUUUGAAAGGUGUAUCAAUCUCUUGACAAUUCAACCAUAUUGCACAAUCCAAGGUUUUAUCACCAUCUAGACCAUGACCAAUGAAGGAG
Molecule: long non-coding RNA, 594 nt
Filed under: Elaeis guineensis (African oil palm)
Lineage: Eukaryota; Viridiplantae; Streptophyta; Magnoliopsida; Arecales; Arecaceae
Description: long non-coding RNA (EGUI_LNC072136)
Source: RNAcentral